RNAcentral lists this ribosomal RNA (400 nucleotides) under uncultured bacterium. RNAcentral describes it as "partial 16S ribosomal RNA". It matches the Rfam family "Bacterial small subunit ribosomal RNA", at positions 338 to 735 of the family's 1533-position model. The record is from RNAcentral.
CCUACGGGAGGCAGCAGUGAGGAAUAUUGGUCAAUGGACGAAAGUCUGAACCAGCCAUGCCGCGUGCAGGAAGACGGCCCUAUGAGUUGUAAACUGCUUUUGUACGAGGGUAAACGCAGAUACGCGUACCUGUCUGCAAGUACUGUACGAAUAAGGAUCGGCUAACUCCGUGCCAGCAGCCGCGGUAAUACGGAGGAUUCAAGCGUUAUCCGGAUUUAUUGGGUUUAAAGGGUGCGUAGGCGGUCGGUUAAGUUAGAGGUGAAAUGCCGAGGCUCAACUUCGGAAUUGCCUUUGAUACUGGUAGGCUAGAGAGUAGUUGCGGUAGGCGGAAUGUAUGGUGUAGCGGUGAAAUGCUUAGAGAUCAGGCAGAACACCGAUUGCGAAGGCAGCUUACCAAGCU